GACAAACGCUGGCGGCGUGCUUAACACAUGCAAGUCGAACGAUGAAGCCGGAGCUUGCUCUGGUGAAUUAGUGGCGAACGGGUGAGUAACACGUGAGUAACCUGCCCUUGACUCUGGGAUAACUGCUAGAAAUGGUAGCUAAUACCGGAUACGACCCUCGGAGGCAUCUCCAGGGGGUGGAAAGAAUUUCGGUCAAGGAUGGACUCGCGGCCUAUCAGCUAGUUGGUGUGGUAAUGGCUCACCAAGGCGACGACGGGUAGUGGCCUGAGAGGGUGACCGGCCACAAUGGGACUGGGACACGGCCCAGGCUCCUACGGGAGGCAGCAGUGGGGAGUAUUGCUCAACGGGCGCAAGCCUGAUGCAGCAGCGCCGCGUGAGGGAUGACGGACUUCGGGUUGUAAACCUCUUUUAGUAGGGAAGGAGCGAAAGUGACGGUACCUGCAGAAAAAGCUCCGGCUAACUACGUGCCAGCCGCCGCAGUAA
RNAcentral lists this ribosomal RNA (483 nucleotides) under uncultured bacterium. RNAcentral's name for it is "partial 16S ribosomal RNA". It matches the Rfam family "Bacterial small subunit ribosomal RNA", at positions 28 to 523 of the family's 1533-position model. The record is from RNAcentral.